This 97-nucleotide transfer RNA is filed under the name Pseudozyma flocculosa. It matches the Rfam family "tRNA". From Rfam's summary of the family: Transfer RNA (tRNA) molecules are approximately 80 nucleotides in length. Their secondary structure includes four short double-helical elements and three loops (D, anti-codon, and T loops). The record is from Rfam by way of RNAcentral. Lineage: Eukaryota; Fungi; Basidiomycota; Ustilaginomycetes; Ustilaginales; Ustilaginaceae. RNAcentral also lists the same sequence under 1 other name.
GCGGCGGAGGCUUAGUGGUUUGGCGUAGGAUUGCAACCGCAUAGCAGCAUCUGCAUCUACGAUCCUGAGGUCCCGAGUUCGAUCCUCGGUCGCCGCU